RNAcentral lists this ribosomal RNA (503 nucleotides) under Scheffersomyces stipitis. RNAcentral describes it as "eukaryotic LSU rRNA". It matches the Rfam family "Eukaryotic large subunit ribosomal RNA", at positions 129 to 650 of the family's 3401-position model. The record is from RNAcentral. Lineage: Eukaryota; Fungi; Ascomycota; Pichiomycetes; Serinales; Debaryomycetaceae.
CUUCGGUGUCCGAGUUGUAAUUUGAAGAAGGUAACUUUGGAGUCAGCUCUUGUCUAUGUUCCUUGGAACAGGACGUCACAGAGGGUGAGAAUCCCGUGCGAUGAGAUGUCUGAUUCUAUGUAAAGUGCUUUCGAAGAGUCGAGUUGUUUGGGAAUGCAGCUCUAAGUGGGUGGUAAAUUCCAUCUAAAGCUAAAUAUUGGCGAGAGACCGAUAGCGAACAAGUACAGUGAUGGAAAGAUGAAAAGAACUUUGAAAAGAGAGUGAAAAAGUACGUGAAAUUGUUGAAAGGGAAGGGUUUGAGAUCAGACUUGGUAUUUUGUAUGUCUUGCUUUCGGGUGGGGCCUCUACAGUUUACUGGGCCAGCAUCGGUUUGGACGGUAGGAUAAUGACAUUGGAAUGUGGCACCACUUCGGUGGUGUGUUAUAGACUUUGUUGAUACUGCCUGUCUAGACCGAGGACUGCGUCUUUGACUAGGAUGCUGGCAUAAUGAUCUUAAACCGCCC